GGAGUUAGCCGGUGCUUCUUCUGUGAGUGAUGUCCUUCCUGCCGGUUAUUGACCCGCAGGCCUUCUUCCUCACUGAAAGUGCUUUACAACCCGAAGGCCUUCUUCACACACGCGGCAUGGCUGGAUCAGGGUUGCCCCCAUUGUCCAAUAUUCCCCACUGCUGCCUCCCGUAGGAGUCUGGGCCGUGUCUCAGUCCCAGUGUGGCUGAUCAUCCUCUCAGACCAGCUACGGAUCGUCGCCUUGGUGAGCCGUUACCUCACCAACCAGCUAAUCCGACAUAGGCUCAUCCGAUAGCGCGAGGCCCGAAGGUCCCCCGCUUUCCCCCGUAGGGCGUAUGCGGUAUUAGCCUGGGUUUCCCCAGGUUAUCCCCCACUACCGGGCAGAUUCCUAUGCAUUACUCACCCGUCCGCCGCUCGCCACCAGGGAGCAAGCUCCCCGUGCUGCCGCUCGACUUGCAUGUGUUAGGCCUGCCGCCAGCGUUCAAUCUGAGCCUAAUCAAACUCUGA
Molecule: ribosomal RNA, 506 nt
Filed under: uncultured bacterium
Lineage: Bacteria
Description: partial 16S ribosomal RNA
Source: RNAcentral